AGCUUUAGGAAAUGGAUUUAAGGUUAAACCUGCCCAAUGUGUAUGAGCAUGAAUGGCCGCGGUACUCUGACCGUGCUAAGGUAGCGCAAUCAAUUGGCUUUUAAUUGGGGCCAGGAAUGAAUGGAACCACGGGGCUUAGCUGUCUCUUAACUAGUAUAUCGAAAUUACUGUGUAGGUGAAAAAGCCUAUGAAAAGAAAAAGGACGAGAAGACCCUUAGAGUUUUUCUAAAAUUGAAAUUAGUUUUUCAAACCAGUUUAGUUGGGGCAACAUAGGAACAGUGUUAAAUUUCCUGAAAAUAACUAACCGAUACUUAUAAAAAUGAAUAAACUACCUUAGGGAUAACAGCAUAAUUUAACAGUUAAGUUUGUGACCUCGAUGUUGGACUAGGGAACUAAAAGGCUAGCCGCCUUUUAGAAAGGUUCUGUUCGAACUAUCAUUCCUA
Molecule: ribosomal RNA, 443 nt
Filed under: Dorididae sp. 1 BP-2020
Lineage: Eukaryota; Metazoa; Mollusca; Gastropoda; Nudibranchia; Dorididae
Description: partial 16S ribosomal RNA
Rfam family: Archaeal large subunit ribosomal RNA
Source: RNAcentral